ACUCAACAAAGAGUCUUUCAGACACCACACAAUUGGCCACACCCUAAGAGUCAGCCCUAUUUAGGGACCUGCAGCUGGAAGGUGGUUCUGUAUUUGAUCUCCCUGAAGGUGUGUCAAACUACAAAGAAAUGACAUUCUGACUCAGUUGGCUUUGCACUCAAUGGGGAGGAUGUGUUUGAUAAGUUCUUGUUUAUUUAGCUAAUGCUGCAUAAUCCAAUAAAGACCGGGUGCAAAGUACAGCAGAUGUACAAACUUCCUGCCUUUGAGGACAAAUACCAUGGUCUCUCAAUUAUCAAAGAUAAGAAAAUAAAGGUUGCUGAUCUGAGUGUUGAAGUAUCUACAGGGACAAGGAACGAGAACCAUACCAACACUUGGUGUUGCUGAGUACAAGACUAGCUGACUAUAGAGACUAGACUGGCUCAAAAAUGUGACUUGCUGGAAACUUGCCUGAGACAAUAGGAGUCAAUCAUCUUUCAAGUUCAAAGGAGGCCCUGGAACAGAGUCAAUCACAGUGACUCCAGGGUGAAAAUCAGCUAUUUUCUUGUUACUAGACCGUGAGCUCUAAUUAAACUCUGACUUCAGGAGAAAAAUAUAGCUGGUCAAUUCAAUUAAAAAAUGCAUAAAGGUAGCUAUAUCACACUGCAAGAUGUAACCUGCUUGUCUGGAAUUUUCAUUAUUAAUUGGUUGACUUCACAAUUAUAUAGAGAAACAAAACUUCUGAUUUUUAAAAAAUUCCUGAAAGUUCAAAAUACUGGCUUGAGACUGGUUAUAUGCUUUUUAAGCAUUAUAUUUUCAGCAGCUGGUGUGUG
RNAcentral lists this long non-coding RNA (809 nucleotides) under Equus caballus (horse). Its description in RNAcentral is "lncRNA (ENSECAG00000038040.3)". The record is from RNAcentral. Lineage: Eukaryota; Metazoa; Chordata; Mammalia; Perissodactyla; Equidae.